RNAcentral lists this ribosomal RNA (366 nucleotides) under uncultured eukaryote. RNAcentral describes it as "partial 18S ribosomal RNA". It matches the Rfam family "Eukaryotic small subunit ribosomal RNA", at positions 592 to 976 of the family's 1831-position model. The record is from RNAcentral.
CAAUAGCGUAUAUUAACGUUGUUGCAGUUAAAAAGCUCGUAGUUGGAUUUCUGGAGGGAGCGUCGGCCCGUAUUUACGAGUGCGUGACGUCUCUGUCCAUCCUUGCGGGAAGGCACGGCAUUGAUUUGUUGUGUCGGAUCGCAUCAUUUACUGUGAAAAAAUUAGAGUGUUCAAAGCAGGCUUUCGCUUGAAUACAUUAGCAUGGAAUAAUAAGAUAGGACUUUGGUGCUAUUUUGUUGGUUGAGCCUAAAGUAAUGAUUAAUAGUGAUAGUUGGGGGCACCUGUAUUGCGUUGUCAGAGGUGAAAUUCUUGGAUUUACGCAAGACAAACAGCUGCGAAAGCGUCUGCCAAGGAUGUUUUCAUUAA